CCUACGGGUGGCUGCAGUGGGGAAUAUUGGACAAUGGGGGCAACCCUGAUCCAGCCAUGCCGCGUGUGUGAAGAAGGCCCUCGGGGUGUAAAGCACUUUCAGUGAGGAAGAACGCCUGGUGGUUAAUACCCAUCAGGAAAGACAUCACUCACAGAAGAAGCACCGGCUAACUCCGUGCCAGCAGCCGCGGUAAUACGGAGGGUGCGAGCGUUAAUCGGAAUUACUGGGCGUAAAGCGCGCGUAGGUGGCUUGAUAAGCCGGUUGUGAAAGCCCCGGGCUCAACCUGGGAACGGCAUCCGGAACUGUCAAGCUAGAGUGCAGGAGAGGAAGGUAGAAUUCCCGGUGUAGCGGUGAAAUGCGUAGAGAUCGGGAGGAAUACCAGUGGCGAAGGCGGCCUUCUGGACUGACACUGACACUGAGGUGCGAAAGCGUGGGUAGCAAACAGGAUUAGAUACCCCAGUAGUC
This 465-nucleotide ribosomal RNA is filed under the name Vreelandella stevensii. RNAcentral describes it as "partial 16S ribosomal RNA". It matches the Rfam family "Bacterial small subunit ribosomal RNA", at positions 338 to 795 of the family's 1533-position model. Lineage: Bacteria; Pseudomonadati; Pseudomonadota; Gammaproteobacteria; Oceanospirillales; Halomonadaceae. The record is from RNAcentral.